This 64-nucleotide transfer RNA is filed under the name Ocypode ceratophthalmus. Its description in RNAcentral is "tRNA-Phe". The record is from RNAcentral. Lineage: Eukaryota; Metazoa; Arthropoda; Malacostraca; Decapoda; Ocypodidae.
AUUUACAUAAUUUAUAAAGAAUAUCGUGUUGAAGCCACGAAAGAGAUAAAAUUAUCUGUGAAUA